This 21-nucleotide non-coding RNA is filed under the name Rattus norvegicus (Norway rat). The record is from RNAcentral. Lineage: Eukaryota; Metazoa; Chordata; Mammalia; Rodentia; Muridae.
UAUCUGUGCUUUUCAAUGGUC